Molecule: small nucleolar RNA, 103 nt
Filed under: Coturnix japonica (Japanese quail)
Lineage: Eukaryota; Metazoa; Chordata; Aves; Galliformes; Phasianidae
Description: Caenorhabditis snoRNA ceN69 (ENSCJPG00005016551.1)
Source: RNAcentral
GAAAUGACGACGUCUGGCUCUCUGCAUGCAAUUAAGCCAACGUGCGCAGUGUGAAUGAAGGUGAAGUUUAUUCUCAGAAACCGAUCUUUGUGAACGCAAUUUA